AGUGAACGCUGGCGGUAGGCCUAAUACAUGCAAGUCGAGCGGCCGCACAGUAAGCUUUUUCUCUUACGGUUGGCGACUGGCGGACGGGUGAGAAAUACAUCGGAAUCUACUUUUUCUGGGGGGAUUACGGGGGGCAACUGAUGCUAAUACCGCAUACGUUCAACGGCUUAAAUCAGUAGUGAAUCGCAGUUUUCCCGUCUGAUUUAGACGGAGUCGCAUUAGCUAGUUGGCGAGGUAAAGGCCCACCAAGGCAACGAUCCGUAGCUGACCUGAGAGGAUGAUCAGCCACACUGGAACUGAGACACGGUCCAGACUCCUACGGGAGGCAGCAGUAGGGAAUAUUGCACAAUGGGCGCAAGCCUGACCCAGCAACGCCGCGUGAGUGAAGAAGGUCUUCGGAUCGUAAAGCUCUGUUAUUAGGAAAGAAAAACUGCAUAAGAAACCACCCAUGUCCUGACGGUACCCAAAGAGAAAGCCACGGCUAACUUCGUG
Molecule: ribosomal RNA, 492 nt
Filed under: uncultured bacterium
Lineage: Bacteria
Description: partial 16S ribosomal RNA
Rfam family: Bacterial small subunit ribosomal RNA
Source: RNAcentral